CCGAAAGGCAGGAGUGCCUGCAAGGGAGCGCGGAGACAGGUGGUGCAUGGCUGUCGUCAGCUCGUGUCGUGAGAUGUUGGGUUAAGUCCCGCAACGAGCGCAACCCUCACCUCUUGUUGCCAUCAGGUCAUGCUGGGCACUCUAGUGGAACUGCCCCGGUCAACGGGGAGGAAGGCGGGGAUGACGUCAAGUCAUCAUGCCCCUUACGUCCUGGGCUACACACGUGCUACAAUGGCCGGUACAAAGGGAUGCCACACCGCGAGGUAGAGCUAAACCCAAAAAGCCGGUCUAAGUUCGGAUUGGAGUCUGCAACUCGACUCCAUGAAGGAGGAAUCGCUAGUAAUCGCGUAUCAGCACGACGCGGUGAAUACGUUCCCGGGCCUUGUACACACCGCCCGUCACACCACGAAAGCCAG
This 416-nucleotide ribosomal RNA is filed under the name uncultured bacterium. Its description in RNAcentral is "bacterial SSU rRNA". It matches the Rfam family "Bacterial small subunit ribosomal RNA", at positions 1001 to 1414 of the family's 1533-position model. The record is from RNAcentral.